Molecule: ribosomal RNA, 165 nt
Filed under: Malus toringoides
Lineage: Eukaryota; Viridiplantae; Streptophyta; Magnoliopsida; Rosales; Rosaceae
Description: 5.8S ribosomal RNA
Rfam family: 5.8S ribosomal RNA (bases 3-150)
About the family: 5.8S ribosomal RNA (5.8S rRNA) is a component of the large subunit of the eukaryotic ribosome. It is transcribed by RNA polymerase I as part of the 45S precursor that also contains 18S and 28S rRNA. Functionally, it is thought that 5.8S rRNA may be involved in ribosome translocation.
Source: RNAcentral
CGGCAACGGAUAUCUCGGCUCUCGCAUCGAUGAAGAACGUAGCGAAAUGCGAUACUUGGUGUGAAUUGCAGAAUCCCGUGAACCAUCGAGUCUUUGAACGCAAGUUGCGCCCGAAGCCAUCAGGCCGAGGGCACGCCUGCCUGGGCGACACACGUCGUUGCCCCC